GUGUCAGCAGCCGCGGUAAUACAGAGGUCCCAAGCGUUGUUCGGAUUUACUGGGCGUAAAGGGUGCGUAGGCGGCCAAAAAAGUCUGAUGUGAAAUCUUGGAGCUUAACUCCGAAACUGCAUUGGAUACUGGUUGGCUUGAGGAGUGGAGGGGAGACUGGAAUUCUCGGUGUAGCAGUGAAAUGCGUAGAUAUCGAGAGGAACACCAGUGGCGAAGGCGAGUCUCUGGACACUUCCUGACGCUGAGGCACGAAAGCCAAGGGAGCAAACGGGAUUAGAAACCCCCGUAGUCC
This 292-nucleotide ribosomal RNA is filed under the name uncultured bacterium. RNAcentral's name for it is "partial 16S ribosomal RNA". It matches the Rfam family "Bacterial small subunit ribosomal RNA", at positions 505 to 796 of the family's 1533-position model. The record is from RNAcentral.